RNAcentral lists this ribosomal RNA (1306 nucleotides) under uncultured bacterium. RNAcentral's name for it is "bacterial SSU rRNA". It matches the Rfam family "Bacterial small subunit ribosomal RNA", at positions 28 to 1381 of the family's 1533-position model. The record is from RNAcentral.
AACGUACGCUGGCGGCACGCCUAACACAUGCAAGUCGAACGAAGUAGCAAUACUUAGUGGCAGACGGGUGAGUAACAUGUAGGUAUCUGCCCUUUGGCCUGGAAUAACACGAGGAAACUUGUGCUAAUACCGGAUAAGUCUUUACGGAGAAAGCUUUAUGCACCAUUGGAUGAGCCUGCACUUGAUUAGUUUGUUGGUGGGGUAAUGGCCUACCAAGACUGUGAUCAAUAGCUGAUUUGAGAGGAUGAUCAGCCACAUUGGGACUGAGACACGGCCCAAACUCCUACGGGAGGCAGCAGUGGGGAAUCUUGCACAAUGGAGGAAACUCUGAUGCAGCGAUGCCGCGUGAGUGAAGAAGGCCCUUGGGUUGUAAAGCUCUUUCGUCGGGGAAGAAAAUGACUGUACCCGAAUAAGAAGGUCCGGCUAACUUCGUGCCAGCAGCCGCGGUAAUACGAAGGGACCUAGCGUAGUUCGGAAUUACUGGGCUUAAAGAGUUCGUAGGUGGUUGAAAAAGUUAGUGGUGAAAUCCCAGAGCUUAACUCUGGAACUGCCAUUAAAACUUUUCAGCUAGAGUAUGAUAGAGGAAAGCAGAAUUUCUAGUGUAGAGGUGAAAUUCGUAGAUAUUAGAAAGAAUACCAAUUGCGAAGGCAGCUUUCUGGAUCAUUACUGACACUGAGGAACGAAAGCAUGGGUAGCGAAGAGGAUUAGAUACCCUCGUAGUCCAUGCCGUAAACGAUGUGUGUUAGACGUUGGAAAUUUAUUUUCAGUGUCGCAGGGAAACCGAUAAACACACCGCCUGGGGAGUACGACCGCAAGGUUAAAACUCAAAUGAAUUGACGGGGACCCGCACAAGUAGUGGAGCAUGUGGUUUAAUUCGAAGAUACGCGCAGAACCUCACCAACACUUGACAUGUUCGUCGCGACUCUAAGAGAUUAGAGUUUUCGGUUCGGCCGGACGAAACACAGGUGCUGCAUGGCUGUCGUCAGCUCGUGUCGUGAGAUGUUGGGUUAAGUCCCGCAACGAGCGCAACCCUCACUUUUAGUUGCCAUCAUUAAGUUGGGCACUCUGAAAGAACUGCCAGUGAUAAGCUGGAGGAAGGUGGGGAUGACGUCAAGUCCUCAUGGCCCUUACGUGUUGGGCUACACACGUGCUACAAUGGUAUCUACAACAGGAAGCAAGACUGCGAAGUUAAGCAAAUCCCUAAAAGAUACCUCAGUUCGGAUUGCACCCUGCAACUCGAGUGCAUGAAGCUGGAAUUACUAGUAAUCGUGGAUCAGCGUGCCACGGUGAAUGCGUUCCCGGGUCU